This 1124-nucleotide unclassified non-coding RNA is filed under the name Athalia rosae (coleseed sawfly). RNAcentral's name for it is "misc RNA ENSAEAG00005012902.1". Lineage: Eukaryota; Metazoa; Arthropoda; Insecta; Hymenoptera; Athaliidae. The record is from RNAcentral.
GGAAUUUGACAAAGGUGAUGCGACUACGCGACGUCCCGGUGACGCUGCCAAAUCCCCGGACCAUUCAAAUUUCCAGUCGUCCACGAAAAAUGAAAAAAAGAAAUAAAUACCGUGGUACCAGCCACACCGACGUGUUAAGGGGGCGACGACGACAAAUAAUAAUGCCUGACAAAAUGGUUCGGGGUGCGCUGGUGGGGAUCUAGUUUACUACGAUAUAGAAAUAAUGUAUUAUUACGAGGUAAUAGUUAUCGAAAUACCUGAUCCGUAGUGUGACCUUUUAGUAGCACCAUUUUCUACGUCGCAAUCUAGUGGCCGUUUUCUUGAAUCCGCAAUUUCUGGGGAGGGACACGUCUCCAUUCCCGAGUCAGCGGCCAUCUUUACUUCGUUGUUUCGCGCACACGACGAACCAAACGACGACGACGAUGACGACGAUGAUGACGAUGACGGACCGAUCGACCGACCGCACCGACCGACCGACGUCGACCGCGAAGGCGACGACACAAUCGAGCCCGACAGACGGACAACAAACUGCACACAAUCACCACGUCGCCGCGACCUACGCGUCUCACUGGCAACUGAUCGCAGCUCCCUCGGAACUCCCUCGCUAAACCAGCUGGUUGCCUCCACAAGCACAACCUCCCUCCUUUCCUCCCUUGUCUCACUCGCUCUUUUUUCCCCCUUGCCUCUUUCACCCCCCCGUCAUCUGACCCUCCCGCUAUCUUUGACGGACGUAUCUCCCUUCCCCGUCCUGUUUGCUGCCAUGCGCCGCGAGGCGUCGCGAUUCCUAUCUCUGUCCCGCUUUGUCGCAUCUACGCUAGAUCCUAGUAGGAUUCGCUUCUAGUUCUUCUUGAACUCUUCCAAGUCUCUAUACCUUAGCAGGGACUGUCAAUGACCGCCGUUAUAUCUGCUUCUCGUCCAAAAUCCGCUAAUAAUAGAAAGGAACCGCGUCGACUAUACUCAAAACAGGCAACAAUUUCCAAUCGCUUUUGAUGUAGACGCAGAUACCGCACUAAAUGCGACGCUACUCUGUGUGGCGGCCAACGCGCAUGUAUUGGGAUGACCAGGGAGAAUUGUGCUGUAAUAUCCAACGACUCGUGCGUUUCGUUUUUGGAAACACAAUAUCA